UACCUAGGUGGCAAGCGUUGUCCGGAAUUAUUGGGCGUAAAGCGCGCGCAGGCGGUUAUGUAAGUCUGAUGUUAAAGCCCGGGGCUCAACCUCGGUUCGCAUUGGAAACUGUGUAACUUGAGUGCAGAAGAGGAAAGUGGUAUUCCACGUGUAGCGGUGAAAUGCGUAGAUAUGUGGAGGAACACCAGUGGCGAAGGCGACUUUCUGGUCUGUAACUGACGCUGAGGCGCGACAGCGUGGGGAGCUAACAGG
RNAcentral lists this ribosomal RNA (252 nucleotides) under uncultured bacterium. Its description in RNAcentral is "partial 16S ribosomal RNA". It matches the Rfam family "Bacterial small subunit ribosomal RNA", at positions 524 to 776 of the family's 1533-position model. The record is from RNAcentral.